This 497-nucleotide ribosomal RNA is filed under the name uncultured bacterium. RNAcentral describes it as "partial 16S ribosomal RNA". It matches the Rfam family "Bacterial small subunit ribosomal RNA", at positions 28 to 507 of the family's 1533-position model. The record is from RNAcentral.
GAUGAACGCUGGCGGCGUGCCUAAUACAUGCAAGUCGAGCGAACGGACGAGAAGCUUGCUUCUCUGAUGUUAGCGGCGGACGGGUGAGUAACACGUGGAUAACCUACCUAUAAGACUGGGAUAACUUCGGGAAACCGUAGCUAAUACCGGAUAAUAUUUUGAACCGCAUGGUUCAAAAGUGAAAGACGGUCUUGCUGUCACUUAUAGAUGGAUCCGCGCUGCAUUAGCUAGUUGGUAAGGUAACGGCUUACCAAGGCAACGAUGCAUAGCCGACCUGAGAGGGUGAUCGGCCACACUGGAACUGAGACACGGUCCAGACUCCUACGGGAGGCAGCAGUAGGGAAUCUUCCGCAAUGGGCGAAAGCCUGACGGAGCAACGCCGCGUGAGUGAUGAAGGUCUUCGGAUCGUAAAACUCUUUUAUUAGGGAAGAACAUAUGUGUAAGCAACUGUGCACAUCUUGACGGUACCUAAUCAGAAAGCCACGGCUAACUACGUG